GACGAACGCUGGCGGCGCGCCUAACACAUGCAAGUCGAACGGGGUUCUUUUAGGAAGCUUGCUUCUUGGCUGAACCUAGUGGCGGACGGGUGAGUAACACGUGAGCAACCUGCCCGGGAGUGGGGGAUAACACUUGGAAACGAGUGCUAAUACCGCAUAACAUCUUUGGAUGGCAUCAUUCGAAGAUCAAAGGAGUAAUCCGCUCUUGGAUGGGCUCGCGCCCGAUUAGAUAGUAGGUGGGGUAAUGGCCUACCAAGUCUGCGAUCGGUAGCCGGACUGAGAGGUUGAUCGGCCACAUUGGGACUGAGACACGGCCCAGACUCCUACGGGAGGCAGCAGUGGGGGAUAUUGCACAAUGGGGGAAACCCUGAUGCAGCGACGCCGCGUGAGGGAAGAAGUAUUUCGGUAUGUAAACUUCUAUCAGCAGGGAAGAAAAUGACGGUACCUGACUAAGAAGCCCCGGCUAAUUACGUGCCAGCAGCCGCGGUAAUAC
This 493-nucleotide ribosomal RNA is filed under the name uncultured bacterium. RNAcentral describes it as "partial 16S ribosomal RNA". It matches the Rfam family "Bacterial small subunit ribosomal RNA", at positions 28 to 526 of the family's 1533-position model. The record is from RNAcentral.